Molecule: non-coding RNA, 3933 nt
Organism: Sus scrofa (pig)
Lineage: Eukaryota; Metazoa; Chordata; Mammalia; Artiodactyla; Suidae
Source: RefSeq, a predicted model, not a curated record
CUGCCGGGGUUCCCUGGCCCCACAGGGGCGGGGGCUGCCAGCGGGUCACGUGGGGGUCAGAGAGAAGAGGAGGGAAUCGAAAAAAAGCCGCGAGCAUCUCAAGGAGUCAAAGAGUCUGCGCCUCCGCUUGCCAAUGUCCAGUCUUGAGGGUUCAAGAAGACAUUCGGACGGCUCUCAGUAGAACGUAAUCUUCUAAAGAGCACAUGCAGUUUAUUAAGGACAAUGCCAUCGUGGCCACGUGACUUGUAAGUGCAACAUUCGAGACGUUUGCUGUAAUAAUUAAACACCACAAGAGAACUUUUUAAAAACUCGAGUCUAAUUAAGGUUUGUCCUUCAGGAAAAAGGUGACUCCAUCUCUAAUGUGAGUAUUCAUGAGCUUUUCAUUUUAAGAGGGCUAGUUUGUGGGUAAACAGAUGCCUGAAGAGACGGUCACAGGAGGAGCUCAUGCAGUUUUAAUAGAUGGCAGUGCUGCGGCAUCAGAAAAUGAUGCCGGCUGGAGUGACAGCGUCUGAUGACUGUACCCUUGGUCGGCUCUGUUUUUAUGAAUGGUCUUAGGGUUCUCCCUUCCUGCCCAGGUCGGUGAUGCUGGCUGGAUUUGGGAACCCAUCAUUUUAUCUUCCAGGUGACAGUCCUCUCAUGGGGUGGCAUCCGUUUUCUCCCUUAGCAUCCUCUAAAUGCUUCUCCAAGAAGCCACCUCCCACAGGGCUCGUGCAGUGAGGAAGGAGGAAGUGAGGAAGGGAGGAGAUAAGGCCUCCUGCCCAUGACCAAUCUGAGCAUCACGCUGGGUCUCCACCCUGGUCGCACCGUGGGUCCUGGAGACCAUUGCAAGUGAGCCGGGCCCUCUGGGAACCUGCAAGCCUCUGACUCCUCUCUCCCUCUCUGAAAGUGUGCUUUCGCCUUGAUAAAGUCUUCUAGGAAGCAUCUGGAAGAUUCUGUCCAGCAAGCAGGAGAGAAGGAGUGUGAACAAGGCAAAUAACAUUUUCCUAUUAUUAAAAGAGCUAAUGGAGGAGUUCCCGUUGUGGCUCAGCAGAUGAAGAACUUGACUAGGAUCCACGAGGAUGUGGGUUUGAUCCCUGGCUUCACUCGGAGGGUGAAGGGUCAGGCAUUGCCGAAAUAGGCUGCAGAUGUGGCUCAGAUCUGGUGUUGCCCUGGCUGUGGCAUAGGCCUGAGCUGUAGCUCCAAUACUGCCCCGACCCCAGCCUGGCAACUUCCAUAUGCUGCAGCUGAGGCUGUAAAAUAAAAUAAAUAAUAAUAAUAAAAAAAGCUAAAUGACCCCUCUGAUCUGAAAGGCUGAAAGGGUGUGACUGUACGUUGAGAGCUUCUGUUUUGCACUGUCUUUCUUUGGUUUCUAUGUUUGCAUCUUCAGUUAUUUUCAACACCUAAUGAAUCCUUUGUACCUGGCACUGUGUCAGCAGCUGGGAGGAAAAAGCAAAACAGGAGCUAAUCCUUAUGUUUGCAGACUAGAUGCAGGAGGCCUUUGCUCUAUUCUAGCGCCCUUGAGACUUAGCAGGAGGGGAGCACCAGCCCUCUGCAGCCCAGAGGAAGCUUCUGGCUUUACCUCUUCAUUCUACAUUUUCCACCUGCCCCUCUGCUGCCACGGCCUUGCCCCCCCAUCCCAACUGCCCCCCCAACUCACUCUUCACCUGCAGUUCUCCACCCACCCAUCAAAGGCUCUGGCCCUGUGGGCAGUUCUCCCUCCUGAGCCCUGCCCACCCCCUCGGCAGCAUCCCCCCCAGGGUCUUUAUCUCUGCCCGGUUUUCAAGCCUGGCUUCUCACUAGAAUCACCAGGCCAUCCUGCCUAUGCCUCUUCCUGGGAGGAGCCCAUUCAGCUGCUUUGGGGCAGCAACCCCGGAAUUGCCAUUUCUGGAAGCUUCCAGGUGACUCUGGAAUUUGAGCCUGGGAGCACUGAGAUAAAAUGUCAGACUGAAGAGGGCCGGUGGCCUCAUCAUCUUGAAUUGGUUUGGAAAUUUCAGUAUGCAUUCCUGAGGGCUUUCGUAUUGAAAACACUAUUCCUUCCUGUGUUGACUGGAAAAACCUAGAAACCAGGAGCAUUCCUACUGCCAGAAUUAGGGUUUCCACAUACCCUUUCCCUCCACACCAGGGCUCUUUGGAGAAGAGUGAUUCUAGGCUUGGAGCAGCAACUGAACAAGAUAAGCCUGGGACAUCUUGUCAUCUCAGAGAGCAAGGAUGUUGUCAUACCCCCCAGGUCCUGUCGAGAGCUGGCACAGAGAUGCAACAUCAUUAAAAGCAGUCAUUGCAGUGGCUCCGAACCCUCCAAUUAUGGUGAAACCUAUUCGUUCAUCAUGUUCUUUUUAAAAAGUACAUUGGUUAUCUUUGAAGAAUGUUAAGGAACCCAGCUCAUUUUUUGGAAAACCUGGCAGAGGAAGGAAAAGAAUCCAGCAUUUAUUAUCUUGACUUUCUUGUACAAACCAUUUCUCAGUAGAAGCAAAUAAUUGAUGAAGGGAAAUUUCUCUUUAUGGAAGUUAUCGCAGCUAAUAAAUGAAGGAAUGAUGAAAUUAGACAGUUGCCAUUUCACAGCCCCUAAUGAGUGGACGGAUCCGGGCUGAUAAAACCCCACACAGCAUUCUGUGUUCCCGAUGGAAGGCCGCAGUGCUACCUGUGAAAGGGUCUUGCCCAAACCUCAAACCUGAAUCCCAUGGUCUCUACACCACAGCUUGGCACACCCCUUCCUGGGGACCAGACCUGGCCUGCUGCCUGUUGUUGUAAAGAAAGCUUUGUUGAAACACAACUAUACCUGUUUGCUUAAAUCAUUGCAACAGAGACUGUCUGGCCCUUAACACCUAAAGUGCUUAAUGCCCAGCCCUUUAUAGACAGAGUCUGCCAACCCUGCCCUUGAUCGCAAGCAUCCCAAGACUCUUCUCCAUCCACUGCAGUUUUGGGACCUGAUUUAGAUCCUGAUUUGAACAGAUUGAAAAAGUGACGUAUGAGACAAUUAGAGAAACUUGAACACCAGCUGGAUGAUGCUAUGGAAUCCUCAUUAAUAUUUUUGAUGGAAUAUGAUGUCACGUGUGUGUGCGAGCAUGCGUGGGUGUUCCCAUCUAGUGGGGCAUUUGCUGCCAUGUUUAGGAAUGAAAUGAGGUUUGUUUCAAAGUAAUAUGGGUUGGUGGGGAAGGGGCCAGGCAGUGUUCUCAGUAAAAUAUAGACUCCUAGUCGUAACACUAUCGGCAGGUGCCAAUACCUUUCCCCUUUACAGAUGAGCAUCGAGACACAGAUCCAGAAUCCGAGGUCUGAUUUCAGAUCUUGUGUUCUCCCUCCAGUGGCUUGGGCCACCCCUUUGAUGUGCCCUUUCUGUGAAGCUGGGGAGGACCUCCAGGUGGCACCUGCCCGGGAGAUCGUACCGACAAUGUCCACAUCACUCAGGUAACAGACACGUUGGGGCGCCCCUGUCAGAUCUCACAUCACGGCCGGAGCCACGUGGGCCCAUAAGACCAGACAGCCCCUUCCCUCAGGGGCCACAGUGUAGCUGGAGACACACUGAAAAUACACUUCUGUCUGGGAGACACCACUCCAGCUUCCUUCUGUUUGCAUGAUGCUGAGCCCUUCUGUUUUUAGAGAAGUGUCACAAAUCCUAUCCCACCUUGAUCCUCAAGGCGGGAGGUGGAGAUGGUGGAUGCCUCUGUUUAUGAAGGGACAUUGACGGACCGGAGCACCGAGCUCUCACCACAUCCUGGAUGCUCUUGCCUCUAACGUACAUCCUCCAGCUUGUUCUCUGACGCUCCGAGGGGGACAUGAUGUCACGGAGGACAGUGGACGUCAGGUGCCCAGGCCAUGGAAGAGGCUGUGCGGCAAAGCGUUGAAGGUCAUCCUGAGGUCACUGUGGGUAAAUGGCCAACCUGAUUUAAACCUGACCCAUCCACUGCCCAAGCCUAUGUUCAUUUUUUUUUUCUUUUUUUUGGCUUUUUUAGGGCUGCA